This 549-nucleotide ribosomal RNA is filed under the name Cryocola sp. RNAcentral's name for it is "bacterial SSU rRNA". It matches the Rfam family "Bacterial small subunit ribosomal RNA", at positions 242 to 803 of the family's 1533-position model. The record is from RNAcentral. Lineage: Bacteria; Bacillati; Actinomycetota; Actinomycetes; Micrococcales; Microbacteriaceae.
CAGGUAGUUGGUGAGGUAAUGGCUCACCAAGCCUACGACGGGUAGCCGGCCUGAGAGGGUGACCGGCCACACUGGGACUGAGACACGGCCCAGACUCCUACGGGAGGCAGCAGUGGGGAAUAUUGCACAAUGGGCGCAAGCCUGAUGCAGCAACGCCGCGUGAGGGACGACGGCCUUCGGGUUGUAAACCUCUUUUAGUAGGGAAGAAGCGAAAGUGACGGUACCUGCAGAAAAAGCACCGGCUAACUACGUGCCAGCAGCCGCGGUAAUACGUAGGGUGCAAGCGUUGUCCGGAAUUAUUGGGCGUAAAGAGCUCGUAGGCGGUUUGUCGCGUCUGCUGUGAAAUCCCGAGGCUCAACCUCGGGCCUGCAGUGGGUACGGGCAGACUAGAGUGCGGUAGGGGAGAAUGGAAUUCCUGGUGUAGCGGUGGAAUGCGCAGAUAUCAGGAGGAACACCGAUGGCGAAGGCAGUUCUCUGGGCCGUAACUGACGCUGAGGAGCGAAAGCGUGGGGAGCGAACAGGAUUAGAUACCCUGGUAGUCCACGCCGU